UUCCGGUUGAUCCCGCCGGACCUGACUGCUAUCGGAUUGGUACUAAGCCAUGCGAGUCAUUGUAGCAAUACAAGGCGGACGGCUCAGUAACACGUAGUCAACCUAACUCGUGGACGUGGAUAACCUCGGGAAACUGAGAAUAAACCGCGAUAGACCAUAGUGCCUGGAAUGGCCUAUGAUCAAAACAGUUUACUGCCAUGGGAUGGGACUGCGGCCUAUCAGCUUGUUGGUGAGGUAAUGGCCCACCAAGGCGAUUACAGGUACGGGCUCUGAGAGGAGAAGCCCGGAGAUGGGUACUGAGACACGGACCCAGGCCCUAUGGGGCGCAGCAGGCGAGAAACCUUAGCAAUGUGCGAAAGCACGACUGGGUCAGUCCGAGUGAUUCCUGAUGAAGGAGUCUUUUGCUUGUCCUAAAAGCACAGGUGAAUAAGGGGUGGGCAAGUCUGGUGUCAGCCGCCGCGGUAAUACCAGCACCUCGAGUGGUCAGGACGUUUAUUGGGCCUAAAGCAUCCGUAGCCGGCGCUGCAAGUCUUCGGUUAAAUCCAUCUGCUUAACAGAUGGGCCGCUGGAGAUACUACAGCGCUAGGGAGUGGGAGAGGCAGACGGUAUUCAGUGGGUAGGGGUAAAAUCCUCUGAUCCAUUGAGGACCACCAGUGGCGAAGGCGGUCUGCCAGAACACGUUCGACGGUGAGGGAUGAAAGCUGGGGGAGCAAACCGGAUUAGAUACCCGGGUAGUCCCAGCUGUAAACGAUGCAAACUCGGUGAUGCAUUGGCUUAUGGCCAAUGCAGUGCCGCAGGGAAGCCGUUAAGUUUGCCGCCUGGGAAGUACGGACGCAAGUCUGAAACUUAAAGGAAUUGGCGGGGGAGCACCACAAGGGGUGAAGCCUGCGGUUCAAUUGGAUUCAACGCCGGA
RNAcentral lists this ribosomal RNA (913 nucleotides) under uncultured archaeon. Its description in RNAcentral is "bacterial SSU rRNA". It matches the Rfam family "Archaeal small subunit ribosomal RNA", at positions 1 to 922 of the family's 1478-position model. The record is from RNAcentral.